GGUUUUAUUGUUGGUGAUACCCGGUGUAGUGGCAUUUAUUUGUUGGAGACGUAAAGGAGGAAGAUGUGGAGAGAACGUGAUUACUGAAGGACAUCCAGACUGUGAAGUAAAGCAGAAGGAUCAGACUGAACCUGAUGUUACUUACUCUACUGUAAGCCACGUGAACACAGCCGGAGCAGCACGGGUCCAGAUCAACGCUGGAGACAAAACUGAAUAUGCCAGCGUUAUAACAAACUAAUCCACAGUAAAUAUACAUAGAUACACUCUCAGAUAUUAUAUAAUAAUAAUAAUGAAAACAUUUAUUAAAUACACACCAUGGUAAGCAUGUUUUUCCCCAAAUUGUGUUUUUCAUGUUUUUCUUUGUUUUUUUCAAGUAAAUAGCAGAUUCAGAUAUAUGCAUGCAUGGGGGAAAGGGGGCGGGGUUUCCAGAGUAUUGCAUUACAUUUAUCUAUGUUAGCUAAGGGUAUUGUUCCUCAUUUACUUUGUGUGCUAAUCAUUAACAAUUGCUGAUGGAUAAUCUUGCAGAAGUAUUUAGAGCGUACGCAUCAUUUUAAAUCUUAUGUGUAUCAUUCUUAUAUCAGAAUAAGAAAUGAAUGUAGAAGGCUUUUAUCAUCAUCCUGUUUUGUGUAAGAAGACUCCUAUAUCUGUUCUUGUUUGUGACUUUUAAAGUCUGCUGAGUUUGGGUAAAAAUAAAAGAAUGAGAAUCGAUGCAUCCGACUGGAAUGAAUGUGUAUUUCUAACCUAGCUUUUGUGAAUGUUUCCUAACACUCCUUGCAAUUAUCAUUACUGAAUUCACUUUUUCAGGACUCACACAGUUAGCAAUCUGAGUGGAUGUAGCCGUGGAUCAGUUUUCAUUACACUUACACAGACUUGUGGCACU
Molecule: long non-coding RNA, 880 nt
Organism: Ictalurus furcatus (blue catfish)
Lineage: Eukaryota; Metazoa; Chordata; Actinopteri; Siluriformes; Ictaluridae
Exons: 3
Source: RefSeq, a predicted model, not a curated record